AUUCUCUCUACAUGAUCAGUCCUUAAGCGCACAUAUCCAAGACACAGCAACAACAUAUGGCAGCACAACUGCAAAGCAGCAAACCAAACAACAGAAAAGAAUUAGGAAAGAAUGUUAAACCUAAAGGAAA
This is a long non-coding RNA of Telopea speciosissima, 130 nucleotides long. RefSeq lists it as uncharacterized. The record is from RefSeq and is a predicted model, not a curated record. Lineage: Eukaryota; Viridiplantae; Streptophyta; Magnoliopsida; Proteales; Proteaceae. The transcript is spliced from 3 exons.